UGGGCAGAUUGCUUGAGGUCAAGAGUUCGAGACCAGCCUGGGCAACAUGGCAAAACCCUGUCUCUACUAAAAUUACAAAAAUUAGCUGGAUAUGGUGGCUUCUGCCUAUAGUCCCAGCUACUCAGGAGGCUGAGGUAGGAGAAUCACUUGAACCCGGGAGGUGGAGGUUGCAGUGAGCCAAGAUCACACCACUGCACUCCAGCCUGGGCAACAGAG
RNAcentral lists this long non-coding RNA (216 nucleotides) under Homo sapiens (human). RNAcentral's name for it is "HSALNT0372462". The record is from RNAcentral. Lineage: Eukaryota; Metazoa; Chordata; Mammalia; Primates; Hominidae.